UCUGUAGGUCGCUUAUGAAGUCUAUUGUUAAAUUCCAGGGCUUAACCUUGGGCAGGCAAUAGAGCACUCAUCUGCUAGAGUGUGGGAGAGGUAGGGGGAACUCCUCGUGGAGAGGUGAAAUUCGUAGAUAUUCGGAGGAACACCAGUGGCGAAGGCGGCUUACUGGUCCAUUACUGACGCUGAGGUGCGAAAGCGUGGGGAGCAAACA
RNAcentral lists this ribosomal RNA (208 nucleotides) under uncultured bacterium. RNAcentral describes it as "partial 16S ribosomal RNA". It matches the Rfam family "Bacterial small subunit ribosomal RNA", at positions 568 to 774 of the family's 1533-position model. The record is from RNAcentral.